GACCGUGUAGCUCAGUAGGUAGAGCGUCGAUCUAGUAAUUCGAAGGUUGCGGGUUCGAGACCCAUGCAGCCGCGGCA
This 77-nucleotide transfer RNA is filed under the name Paramuricea clavata. Its description in RNAcentral is "tRNA-Thr". The stretch from base 8 to 65 matches the Rfam family "tRNA", at positions 8 to 63 of the family's 71-position model. Rfam says of the family: Transfer RNA (tRNA) molecules are approximately 80 nucleotides in length. Their secondary structure includes four short double-helical elements and three loops (D, anti-codon, and T loops). Lineage: Eukaryota; Metazoa; Cnidaria; Anthozoa; Malacalcyonacea; Plexauridae. The record is from RNAcentral.